UUCCGGUUGAUCCUGCCGGAGGUCACUGCUAUCGGGGUUCGAUUAAGCCAUGCGAGUCGAGAGGGUUCAGACCCUCGGCGGACUGCUCAGUAACACGUGGAUAAUCUGCCCUAUGGUGGAGGAUAACCCCGGGAAACUGGGGAUAAUACUCCAUAAGUCAGGAGUACUGGAAUGUCUCCUAACUGAAAGUUUCGGCGCCAUAGGAUGAAUCUGCGGCCGAUUAGGUAGUUGUUGGGGUAACGGCCCAACAAGCCCGUAAUCGGUACGGGUUGUGGGAGCAAGAGCCCGGAGAUGGAAUCUGAGACACGAUUCCAGGCCCUACGGGGCGCAGCAGGCGCGAAAACUUUACAAUGCAGGAAACUGUGAUAAGGGAACCCCGAGUGCCCGUACACGCGGGCUGUCCCGGUGUUUAAAACACAUCGGAAGAAAGGGCCGGACAAGACCGGUGCCAGCCGCCGCGGUAAUACCGGCGGCUCGAGUGGUGACCACUUUUAUUGGGCUUAAAGCGUUCGUAGCUUGAUUUUUAAGUCUCUUGGGAAAUCUCACGGCUUAACUGUGAGGCGUCUAAGAGAUACUGGGAAUCUAGGGACCGGGAGAGGUAAGAGGUACUUCAGGGGUAGAAGUGAAAUUCUGUAAUCCUUGAGGGACCACCGAUGGCGAAGGCAUCUUACCGGAACGGCUUCGACAGUGAGGAACGAAAGCUGGGGGAGCGAACGGGAUCAGAUACCCCGGUAGUCCCAGCCGUAAACUAUGCGCGUUAGGUGUGCCUGUAACUACGAGUUACCGGGGUGCCGAAGUGAAAACGUGAAACGUGCCGCCUGGGAAGUACGGUCGCAAGGCUGAAACUUAAAGGAAUUGGCGGGGGAGCACCACAACGGGUGGAGCCUGCGGUUUAAUUGGAUUCAACGCCGGA
RNAcentral lists this ribosomal RNA (913 nucleotides) under uncultured compost archaeon. Its description in RNAcentral is "bacterial SSU rRNA". It matches the Rfam family "Archaeal small subunit ribosomal RNA", at positions 1 to 922 of the family's 1478-position model. The record is from RNAcentral.